Pipistrellus kuhlii (Kuhl's pipistrelle) is the source of this 1052-nucleotide long non-coding RNA. RefSeq lists it as uncharacterized. The transcript is spliced from 3 exons. NCBI's taxonomy places the organism in Eukaryota, Metazoa, Chordata, Mammalia, Chiroptera, Vespertilionidae. The record is from RefSeq and is a predicted model, not a curated record.
GAGGGGGGGAAAUUGGGGGUGGGUGGGGACUGUGUGGGAGAGUUGGGUGGAGGCGGUGGUCCUGAGAGGACAGGCCCCCCUCCCUGAUCCAGGAGUUUCCUGGUGUGCAUAUCCUCUGCUGCCACACCCCUCUUGGAGAGGUUUGAUUACAAAACCUCGGAAGAGCCAUUAACCGAGCCACAGCGGCGAUUACAACACAGAGCUGGUCGACAGGCGUAAGUGAGGUCUGGCUUCCAGGACAGUACGUGUGCAAAGAUCAAACGUUCUGUCUAAAAGAUCAAAUUUUCCCAGUCUGGAUAUCAGGCUAAAAACAGCAAAAAGACGAAGAGAGAAUUUCACUGAACGGCCUGCGGUUUCUUCCUGCAAGGAGGCCCGGCCAGGCCGUUCCUGGCACUGGCCAUGUGCCAGGCACGGUUCUAAUGAACGAGUCCAUCUCCACAACAACCCCACGGAGACAGGGACCAUUAUUAUCCCCUAAUUACAGGAGAGGAAACCUAGGCAACGGAGGUAACGUCACAGAACCAGUCACAGGCUUUUUUGAGAAUUUGAAACCACGAGCCUUUCUGAAAAGGCAGAGAUCCAAUAUAACUUCGGGGAGUUUUGGGGCCCCCGAAGCACAGCUGUUGACCCCAAGUUGAGAAUGAAGGCUCUCAGAGGCCUUUCCCAGCUUUGUAAUUCUGUGUUCUUCAACCUGCCAGUCCGGGCCAUGUUUCAGAUGUCACAUUAGACGCCAGAUCAAUGGGUUGUUUUUUUCCUCUAAAGACCCCAAAAGAGACAAUAACCACUGUUUUGAUAGUAUGGGACUUUAGUAUUUAUUGAUCAAGUUUGUGUGAUUCAAGGCUAGUAAAUUGACUCUGCAGAAAUUUAGGAUGAUGGAAAAUCUAAUGUGAACUUAUAAUCAUUACUGCGUGUUAACCUGUUUAACAAAUGUUAACCAGUUUAAGGGCAAACUUCUUUACAAUAUAAAAACGUUAUGGAAAUCAUAAUUGCUGUGCUUUGAAGUGUUUUAAUAAUGCAUGUGAGACUUAAUAAAUAAAUGCCUUUCCCCCUAU